GCCGGGCCGCCGCGGCGCGACCGUUAACUCCUUCGGCGCGCGCACCGGCCGUUAGCGCCUGCUCGGGGCGUGCGUCUCAGCCGGCGGCCUGGGCGCCUGAGGGGCAGGACCCCGAGGCGCGGCACGCUGCUCGGGUGCCCUUCCCCCCGCCACCACCGCCCGCGAGAAAGCGGCUGAACUGUGCCCGUCCCAGGCGUAAGGGGAGAUGAGUACCUGGGUCCUAAUUUUGGACAGCAACAAGGCAGCUAACACAAGGAACCAGGCUGGGAAGAGAGAAAUGGAAGCUCAGACUUUCCCUGUCCCACCUCUGUAAAUAAUGUGACUGAGGAUAACAUGGGCUAAAUGGAUCCACACCUCAAAUCAGCUCAUCCAGGAUAUUAACUUGGCACAAAGACACACUGCUACAGGCAUCUUGUUCCCUGCUCCGCAGCAGCCUAGGAGAUGGAAACACAGGACUAGCUGUGCUGCAGUUCACUGCUUGGUGAGGACAUAUACUCUAACAGUUACUCAAACUUGACAGUUCUUCAUGCACAGGUCCCUUUGUCCCCAAGCUUUCUUUUUUCUUUUUUUUUUUUUAAUUUGUAAGAGAAACAAGUUUACAUAAACCAACCAGAACCUCAGUAAAGAGAAAAAAUAGCAAAGGUACAGCAUGAACGAGUCAGAAGAAGAGGAAGGUGCACUUUGAGGCUCAGCAACCAGUUACUGAAGAUACGGACACUGAAGUUCAUAACCCAAACACUAUUUGUUCAGCACAAAUUACAUGAACCCUCAGCAAACUCAAAAGCUAUUACAUUAAAAAGAUGCAUCUUGUUGAGUGAAAUCAUUUUGAAAUGCAUUGUUUAUACUGCCAUCAGCUACUUCUACCCAAAUAGUAAUUAUGGCACUUGACAAAAUAGGAAACAUGGUUGUAUUUUAAAUCAGCUUAUCACCAUCUCAAACAUUUAUACUCAGCUCCAAAUAAUAGCAAGUGUGUCACGUCCCAUUCCCCCUCACCACCAUCAUUCAGUGAUUUCAGUCAAGCACGUUUUUUUGGAGAAUCGUUUCUAUACUGCACCAUGCCUCAGGAAUGAGCUUCACAUGCUGGCAUACUAAACUAUUUGACACCAUAACCGGAAAAUACCAAUUUGACUGAACGCAAGAGAAGAAAGUUUUGCAAAAUAAAACUGAUAAUUAAGCCCAGAUUUUCAACUGUCACUGGACCCAUUUUAAACACAGCUAUGUCAACUAAGUUUUAAAAAAAUAUUUAUUAUUGACUACAGCUGUUGUCUGCUCAAGUUUAAAAAAGCUGUUUCAUAAAUUACAGUAGCCCCCCUCCAAAAAACACAGAAAGUUCCCCCCCCCCCCAAAAAAAAAUUUAAAAAAAGCCAUUUUUUGCUUUUAUGGCAUCGGCACAUCCUCUGGGCACCUUAGGCUUUGGUGUUCUCAUUUCACAGUUCUCUUUACAAGGCAGUACUACCAAUUGUCUUUUCAGACAGAUUUACAUGAGGACAAUGAAUAAUUAUUGCCACCAGCUGCAUAUCAUUAUCACAUGAACAACUGAGCUUCUGUCAACCAACUCCUGAAAAAUGACUUUAUUAUGAAAUAUUUUUAAAAGCAAGCAAUAACCAGUUGAGUACUUUUUUUCUUUUCUUUUUUUUUUUUUUUUAACUCAACAUUGCAUAUUGCAGCAUUUCAGCAGCGGCCAGGGGAAUGCAGAAGUCCUCAUCGAUUUGAAGCCCAGUCGUCAGUCAGAGCCCUUAGGGACCUGCCCCAGAAGAACAUCAGUGAGUGACAACGCCGAGAUACGAACCUUGAUCACAGAGCUCCUAGGCUAGCUCCCCAAAUCGCAGCAUCACAAAUAUUCCCAGAAAGGCAGCUUCUGUUAAAGUGCCACAGGCCACAUCCUGCUUAAGACUGGAAUUUUCUAGAAAGUUUGGUGUAAAUUAGGAAAACAGAUAACAUCUUCAUUUAUGUGACAACAGGAAGUUAAAAAAAAGGAUUUGAGCUAUUUGUUGUCAGAGUUUCUGACACUUCAAUGUUUUUAGGUCUUUUGAAGAAAUAGAUACCUUGUAACAUCAGGUACUUGCCUGAUUUUAAAAAAACAAAAAAACCCGACAUUUGAAAAAAAACCUUUCCAUUUCUCCUGCAACUUCUAUCACUGGUUUUUGAGAUCUUUUAUAAAUAAAUGUAAGUGAAUUAAGUAUCAGCAGCAUAAUAAGCAGGCAAGCGCUUUCACUUGGAAGAACUCAGAGAGGUUAACUUGGUAACAUUAUAACAUCAGCUGGGCCAUUAUAACAAACUGAAAAGAGCUCCUGACUGACAGCAUUGUGUUUUAUUGUUCAUGUAAUUAAGUGUUUCUCAAACAAAGGAUUAAAUUGCAUCAAACUGGUGGGUAACUGCCAUUCCGCUCUAUAAGCAGAAUACCCUGCAAAUAUCAUAGAGUCAUAAAUCCUCUUAACAGCUCCAUUUCACAAUAAUACACUUACUGCGCAACGGGUGUAGCAAGCACCUUGAAAGAACUGAGCUCUCCCCUGUAAGUUACCUUUGUUCCACAUAAGUGUAACCACAUUACAAGCUAAAAUAACACCAGCUCUAUCACUAGUGAAAGUAAGAAUCAUCUUGUCCAGCUGCCUCACUGAAAUAAAUGUUACCUAUAUUACUUCUAUGCCAAUCUCCCCCCAGAGAAGCGAGCCUAGUCUGUUUGCCUGACUCCCCACCCACCAGGAUUUAUCUAGAAGAAAACAGGCUCAUUCAGGAUCCAUUUUAAGGCUCUUUUCUCCUCAGCUUUGCUUUCCUUAACUACUACUAUGGAUAAAUUCAGUGUGUUUAGGUUCAUUUCUCUACCAAAAAGCACUGAAGCCCACAAAACAAAGUUGAGAGCAACAAUCUACAUGGUUGCCUAGAUGAUAAAGUAACUACAGAGUUAAGUUAAAGUGGGGCACAUAAAGCACACCACCAACUCUGCACUAGCUCUUCUAGGUGGACAUGCUCAUCCAAGCCAAGAACAGGCAUUUGUGCUGUCGAGGCUGAUUCCUUUUGGGAAGGAGGAUCUGGCCGAGGACACGCAGCAGAGAUGCUGCGCAGGCACACGCCAGGGAGCUGGGGCAGAGGGAGCUCCACGGAGGAGCCCUGUCAAAGCACCGAUUUUCAGCGCCGGGUUUCUUACUAUAACACAUGAAGGAGAGAACCCAAAAAGGAAACGAAACAACUUCACGUAUAUUUACAAGGAACUCCUCUCCAGAACGAGGAGUGGUGAGGGACAUCUAUUUUUUUUUCCCUACACCACACUGAAAGUUUGAGACAUGACCACCGAUAACAAGAGGCUCCACUGGAAAGGUGAUGGAUCUCUAUCGCAUGUUCAGGCAAACACGGCUCAAGGCGCAUUGGCCUGGAAGAGGGACGGGGCAGAGGCGAGAAGGGGAAGCGCAGCGGGAUCACCCGGCCCCGCUCCCUGGCGGCGCCGGGGCAGCUGGGGGCGACCGGCAGCCUGACCGGCAAGAAGUACGUGUGUGCGUGUGCGUGCACAUACACCUCUGCCUGCACGCGUGCACACACAUAUAUAUGUGCAUAUAUAAAUAUGUGCGUGUAUAUGCACACACACCCGCACGCAUGCGGAGCCCCUCACCGCUCGGGAACCCCCGCGGCGCCUCUGCGCCUCCCGGGACCCUCCCCGCCGCCGGGGCAGGGGCCGCCCGCGCCCCCCGCCGCCCCACGAGCCGGCGCCGGGAGAGCCCCGCGGGGGCCCCGGGCGGCCGCGCGUGCCGGCGGCGAGGCGAGACCGCGCCGGCGGGCCGCGCCCGGCACCCCGCGGGCCGCCUCCUUACCCCGCCGUCAUCACCACGUUGUAAAUAACGAGAUAGGCCGUAGCCAGCGCGCCCUGGCCCUUCCUCCGCCGCGGCUGCUGGCUCCCGUAGCCGUUAUCCGCGCGGCUGCCGCCGCCGCUGCCAGACGCCGCCAUGUUGCCGCGCUCCUGCGGCCGCCGCCUGCUCUCGGCGCACGCCGGGGCCGCGGGGCGGGGCCGCGCGCCUCCCCCGCCGCCGCCAUCUUGGAGCAGGGCAGCGGUGCCCGGUGGGGGAGUCGCGUAGCGGGGCUGCUCCCUCCGGCCCCUGGCUCUGGGCUGCCGCCCCGCUGGCUCGGAAAGCGGGGCUUCACUGCGGGAGGGCCCGAUCCGCCGCUCCCAUCGCACCGCCGGCCCCGCGGCUGCGGCGUCACUGCGGUGCCCGGGCCAGGGCAGCCGCCCCCAGGGGUUAAUGCGCCGCCGCUGCUCCUCGCUUGGCGAUUACAACGCGCCCCUCUGCGAGGCAGCCUGAAGCUCACUACAGAGAAGAGAAUUACGAAGUCCCGUGCUAUCGUCCUUGUGGGCAAAGAGUCUUUGCGUCGUAUGCAGGUAAUUAGCAAAGUCUCUUCACCAACCACAACUGCACAAUGGGCACUUGGAUGGUUGGAUGGGCUUGUAAUUAAGUAAAUUAAGUUUCUGCAAAUCCAGAAACCUGAGUUAUAAAAAGCAGUCGCUAGUCCCAAAAUUUCCUUGCCUCUUAAGGAGACUGAGUUUUAUAUAAAAGAAAUACAAGUAAAAUUAAGUGGUCCAACUUGUGCAGUAAUCAUGUCUUGCAUAACCUCUGCUAUUGGGGAUUCUGUCCACCUUACCACACCCAAAAUGUGGCAAACACACAGGCAAGACAAGGUUCAUAGGAAGAGAUAAUAUCUUUUAUUAGACCAAUUGGGAUGACUGGCAAAAUUAGACAGGAUUUCAAGCACAUGGAAGAUCCUUCUUCAGUUGGAAGAGGAGUCUUUCUUCUACUCUUCAAACAAAAAAUUUCAAGGCUAAAUACAAGUUGGAAUCAAUUGCUCAGAGUAAAGUUCAUUGUUUCCUAAAGACUAGAAGAGAUGUUACUAGGAAUCAACAUGACAUUUUACUUCAUCAACUAGAUGAUAAGCUAGACACAUCCUAGGGGAAAAAGCAAGAGAGGCUGUUUGUAGCCUGUUAAAUGCUGAGAGACUUGUAGAUGAGGAGAAGGAAGGGAAAUUCUGUGCAGUAAAACCAAUGUUGAGUCUGUGGGGUUCGAUAGCCAGUACACAUAUACACACACCUACAAACCUUGCCGUGUCUGUGUCCUAGGCCAUCAAAGCCGUAUGUUUUAUCAGUACAGAACAGCUUUAUGUAUGUGCCUACCUGCACAGAAAACAGCAGUCCAAUGAAUAAAGUUAAGUACAUUCACAAGUCUGUUGAGGCCUCACCUUGCAAAGAUGACUGUUUCAAGGGUUGAAGGUUUGCUUAAGAAAUAUGUUGAUAAAGACAGGACAUUUCACAAUCGUUGCUUUAGGGAGCCUCUGCAUGGUCAGAAGUGCAGAAGCACCACUAU
Dromaius novaehollandiae (emu) is the source of this 5342-nucleotide long non-coding RNA. RefSeq lists it as uncharacterized. NCBI's taxonomy places the organism in Eukaryota, Metazoa, Chordata, Aves, Casuariiformes, Dromaiidae. The record is from RefSeq and is a predicted model, not a curated record. The transcript is spliced from 5 exons.